AUUGAACGCUGGCGGCAGGCUUAACACAUGCAAGUCGAGCGGGGUGAUGGUGCUUGCACUAUCACUUAGCGGCGGACGGGUGAGUAAUGCUUAGGAAUCUGCCUAUUAGUGGGGGACAACAUCUCGAAAGGGAUGCUAAUACCGCAUACGUCCUACGGGAGAAAGCAGGGGAUCACCUGUGACCUUGCGCUAGUAGAUGAGCCUAAGUCGGAUUAGCUAGUUGGUGGGGUAAAGGCCUACCAAGGCGACGAUCUGUAGCGGGUCUGAGAGGAUGAUCCGACACACUGGGACUGAGACACGGCCCAGACUCCUACGGGAGGCAGCAGUGGGGAAUAUUGGACAAUGGGGGGAACCCUGAUCCAGCCAUGCCGCGUGUGUGAAGAAGGCCUUAUGGUUGUAAAGCACUUUAAGCGAGGAGGAGGCUCUUUUGGUUAAUACCCAAGAUGAGUGGACGUUACUCGCAGAAUAAGCACCGGCUAACUCUGUGCCAGCCGCCGCGGUAA
Molecule: ribosomal RNA, 503 nt
Filed under: uncultured bacterium
Lineage: Bacteria
Description: partial 16S ribosomal RNA
Rfam family: Bacterial small subunit ribosomal RNA
Source: RNAcentral